This 253-nucleotide ribosomal RNA is filed under the name uncultured bacterium. Its description in RNAcentral is "partial 16S ribosomal RNA". It matches the Rfam family "Bacterial small subunit ribosomal RNA", at positions 524 to 776 of the family's 1533-position model. The record is from RNAcentral.
UACGUAGGGGGCAAGCGUUGUCCGGAAUCAUUGGGCGUAAAGAGCGUGUAGGCGGCUCGAUAAGUCUGCUGUGAAAGUCCAGGGCUCAACCCUGGAAUGCCGGUGGAAACUGUCGGGCUGGAGUCCGGAAGAGGCGAGUGGAAUUCCUGGUGUAGCGGUGAAAUGCGCAGAUAUCAGGAGGAACACCAAUGGCGAAGGCAGCUCGCUGGGACGGUACUGACGCUGAGACGCGAAAGCGUGGGGAGCAAACAGG